AUGGCCUACGGGACGCAGCAGUGGGGAAUAUUGCACAAUGGGGGAAACCCUGAUGCAGCGACGCCGCGUGAGCGAAGAAGUAUUUCGGUAUGUAAAGCUCUAUCAGCAGGGAAGAAAAAUGACGGUACCUGAGUAAGAAGCACCGGCUAAAUACGUGCCAGCAGCCGCGGUAAUACGUAUGGUGCAAGCGUUAUCCGGAUUUACUGGGUGUAAAGGGAGCGUAGACGGCAGAGAAAGUCUGAAGUGAAAGCCCGCGGCUCACCCGCGGGACUGCUUUGG
Molecule: ribosomal RNA, 279 nt
Filed under: uncultured bacterium
Lineage: Bacteria
Description: partial 16S ribosomal RNA
Rfam family: Bacterial small subunit ribosomal RNA
Source: RNAcentral